CGAACACAGAAGUUAAGCCUCUUAACGCCGAUGGUACUACGAUGGAAACGUCGUGGGAGAGUAGGUAGUCGCCAAAC
RNAcentral lists this ribosomal RNA (77 nucleotides) under Finegoldia magna. Lineage: Bacteria; Bacillati; Bacillota; Tissierellia; Tissierellales; Peptoniphilaceae. The record is from RNAcentral.